GAUGAACGCUAGCGGCAGGCUUAACACAUGCAAGUCGAGGGGUAACAGGUUGUGCUUGCACAAUGCUGACGACCGGCGCACGGGUGCGUAACGCGUAUACAAUCUGCCUUUUGCUGAGGGAUAGCCCAGAGAAAUUUGGAUUAAUACCUCAUAGUAUCAUAAUUAGGCAUCUAAUAAUGAUUAAAGGUUACGGCAAAAGAUGAGUAUGCGUUCUAUUAGCUAGAUGGUGUGGUAACGGCACACCAUGGCAACGAUAGAUAGGGGCCCUGAGAGGGGGAUCCCCCACACUGGUACUGAGACACGGACCAGACUCCUACGGGAGGCAGCAGUGAGGAAUAUUGGACAAUGGAGGCAACUCUGAUCCAGCCAUGCCGCGUGCAGGAAGACUGCCCUAUGGGUUGUAAACUGCUUUUAUACAGGAAGAAACCUUUUCACGUGUGAGAAGCUGACGGUACUGUAAGAAUAAGGAUCGGCUAACUCCG
RNAcentral lists this ribosomal RNA (482 nucleotides) under uncultured Flavobacteriaceae bacterium. Its description in RNAcentral is "bacterial SSU rRNA". It matches the Rfam family "Bacterial small subunit ribosomal RNA", at positions 28 to 505 of the family's 1533-position model. The record is from RNAcentral. Lineage: Bacteria; Pseudomonadati; Bacteroidota; Flavobacteriia; Flavobacteriales; Flavobacteriaceae.